GACGAACGCUGGCGGCGUGCUUAACACAUGCAAGUCGAACGGAAAGGCCCAUUAGGGGGUACUCGAGUGGAGAACGGGUGGGUAACACGUGAGUGACCUGCCAUUGACUUCGGGAUAACUUCUGGCAACUGGGGCUAAUACCGGAUAGGAAUUAUUGUUGCCUGGCGGGGGUUGGAAAGCUUCGGCGGUUUUGGCUGGACUCGCGGCUUAUCAGCUUGAUGGUGGGGGUGUGGCUAACCAAGGCUUGGACGGGUAGCCGGCCUGAGAGGGCGACCGGCCACAUUGGGACUGAGAGACGGCCCAGACUCGUACGGGAGGAAGCAGUGGGGAAUAUUGCACAAUGGGUGGAGGCCGGAUGCAGCAACGCCUCGUGUGGGAUGACGGCCUUCGGGGGGUGAACCGCUUGCAGCAGGAGCGAAGCUGUUAGUGACGUUACCUGCAGAAGAAGCACCGGCUAACUACGUG
Molecule: ribosomal RNA, 465 nt
Filed under: uncultured bacterium
Lineage: Bacteria
Description: partial 16S ribosomal RNA
Rfam family: Bacterial small subunit ribosomal RNA
Source: RNAcentral